This is a long non-coding RNA of Hemicordylus capensis (graceful crag lizard), 1175 nucleotides long. RefSeq lists it as uncharacterized. The record is from RefSeq and is a predicted model, not a curated record. The transcript is spliced from 4 exons. NCBI's taxonomy places the organism in Eukaryota, Metazoa, Chordata, Lepidosauria, Squamata, Cordylidae.
AAAUGAAUGAGAGAAGCAUGGAGAAAAGAGACUGAGACUUGAAUACUAAGCAUAAUCAGAAGAAUAUGUACUUUGUGGACUGCCUGCUCUGUUUUGAAGAGAAUGGUUUCUGACAUAGAGUUGGUGACUGCAACAUUUGGUACCAGAUGAUAUUUCAGCAAGCUGAACAUUUUGCAAAACAACAACCUCUGAACUGAGGGCUGAUUCGAGAGUAAACCUUCCCUUCCGUAGAGGACUGACUAUGGAGAAAUAUACAUGAAAAACUAGAGCUGUCUUGGUACACCACAUGGUUUUUCCUUUGCUUCCCAUCAUUACACAGACCUUUAUGCCCUUGGAAAGUGUUGGAUCCUACAUGAGUGCACACAGAGAGAGAGCAGAGAAGACAGGAAUUACAGCCAAGAAAUAGCCUGUUGCCAGAAUUGCCCUCCUGUGGCCUCUCUCUUUCACACUCCAAUGCACUCCAACUGAAGCAAAAGCCCCCGUUAGCGGCAGAGCAGCAGGACGUGGUCUUCCAGCACAACAGCUGAGAAGCUUCGGACGGAAACUGACAAUCAAUGCAGGAGGUCUGUGAAAUGAGACCCCCAACUGGUGCCACUCUAGAGCUAUUCAUGCAGGUAGUAUUGCAUGGGAAGGGUCCCGUGGCCACAUGGUGGUAUGAGAAGCCCAGUGGUUAGGGUCAAAAUGGUACGUUUUCAGUAGCAGAGCUUACUUAUCUGCUGUAAAGGGACAGAAGCUUUUUCAUGUCACUAAUGAGCAAACCAAGCUUUCUAAACUAUAAGAGGGACUCCACCAAAAGGGUUGCCAUUUGGAAUGUUCUCAUCUCCCUCAGCAUCUUUGGUAGUCUCUAUAUACCAGCAUUUGAUAGUCAAAUCACAUAUUUUAUCUCACGGUCCAAACCAGAGUUUUGAGUGCAUUCUAAUAUGCACAAUAUUCUAAUAUGCACACCGUACUAGUAUGUGUGUCCCUUCAAUAAUUUCAAUGGAAGUACUCGAUCUUCCCAUGCAAAACAAUAUCUGUGCCUACAGGACCCCUCAUUCAAAAGAAUGGUGCAACUCAUGCACAUACAGUAUUGGCUCUUUCACAUCUUUAAGCAGCCUCUGGACUAGGGUGCAAGAGUUCUAUCUCAAUUCUAUCUCAAUUAUCACAAUCCAACCUAACAACAAAUAUUGCAUGUU